CAGUAGCCACGGUAAUACGGAGGGUGCAAGCGUUAAUCGGAAUUACUGGGCGUAAAGCGCACGCAGGCGGUUUGUUAAGUCAGAUGUGAAAUCCCCGAGCUUAACUUGGGGACUGCAUUUGAAACUGGCAAGCUAGAGUCUUGUAGAGGGGGGUAGAAUUCCAGGUGUAGCGGUGAAAUGCGUAGAGAUCUGGAGGAAUACCGGUGGCGAAGGCGGCCCCCUGGACAAAGACUGACGCUCAGGUGCGAAAGCGUGGGGAGCAAACAGGAUUAGAUACCCCGGUAGUCCCUGUCUCUUAUAC
This 301-nucleotide ribosomal RNA is filed under the name uncultured bacterium. RNAcentral describes it as "partial 16S ribosomal RNA". It matches the Rfam family "Bacterial small subunit ribosomal RNA", at positions 509 to 807 of the family's 1533-position model. The record is from RNAcentral.